AUUGAACGCUGGCGGCAGGCCUAACACAUGCAAGUCGAGCGGCAGCACAGAGAAACUUGUUUCUCGGGUGGCGAGCGGCGGACGGGUGAGUAAUGCCUGGGAAAUUGCCCUGAUGUGGGGGAUAACCAUUGGAAACGAUGGCUAAUACCGCAUGAUGCCUACGGGCCAAAGAGGGGGACCUUCGGGCCUCUCGCGUCAGGAUAUGCCCAGGUGGGAUUAGCUAGUUGGUGAGGUAAGGGCUCACCAAGGCGACGAUCCCUAGCUGGUCUGAGAGGAUGAUCAGCCACACUGGAACUGAGACACGGUCCAGACUCCUACGGGAGGCAGCAGUGGGGAAUAUUGCACAAUGGGCGCAAGCCUGAUGCAGCCAUGCCGCGUGUGUGAAGAAGGCCUUCGGGUUGUAAAGCACUUUCAGUUGUGAGGAAGGUGGUGUCGUUAAUAGCGGCAUCAUUUGACGUUAGCAACAGAAGAAGCACCGGCUAACUCCGUGCCAGCAGCCGCGGUAAUACGGAGGGUGCGAGCGUUAAUCGGAAUUACUGGGCGUAAAGCGCAUGCAGGUGGUUUGUUAAGUCAGAUGUGAAAGCCCGGGGCUCAACCUCGGAACUGCAUUUGAAACUGGCAGACUAGAGUACUGUAGAGGGGGGUAGAAUUUCAGGUGUAGCGGUGAAAUGCGUAGAGAUCUGAAGGAAUACCGGUGGCGAGGGCGGCCCCCUGGACAGAUACUGACACUCAGAUGCGAAAGCGUGGGGAGCAAACG
This 757-nucleotide ribosomal RNA is filed under the name uncultured bacterium. Its description in RNAcentral is "bacterial SSU rRNA". It matches the Rfam family "Bacterial small subunit ribosomal RNA", at positions 28 to 774 of the family's 1533-position model. The record is from RNAcentral.